Pongo pygmaeus (Bornean orangutan) is the source of this 2466-nucleotide long non-coding RNA. RefSeq lists it as uncharacterized. The transcript is spliced from 2 exons. NCBI's taxonomy places the organism in Eukaryota, Metazoa, Chordata, Mammalia, Primates, Hominidae. The record is from RefSeq and is a predicted model, not a curated record.
GCUGCGCGUCCACGAACUCUAGGAGGGGAGGAGCGCGGCCCGGUUCUACGGUCCUCUGCUCCCGGUCCCACCUCCGGCUCUCCAGCCGGUCGGUUCUCCUGCUGGGGACUGGAUCCAGGCAGCCCCGUCUGAGUUUGCAGGCUGGAACCGCUGGCAGCAGCGAGAAGGAGUGUUCGGGAGAGGGUUGCAGAGUUCACCGAGGUUUGGUCCCUUCCUUCAGUUCGGUCGGGUCCAGUCUCCCCUGUUCCGGGCCGGGUCGGAAACGCUGGUCUCAGAGCCGCUGAGCUGGACCUCCACCGCAGCUAGCGGGGGUGAGGCCCAGCCACCCGCCCCGCCCAGCCCUGGGCCGUGCGCGCCGCCGCCGCCGAGGGUCCUCGCCAGGGUCCCCCGUCUCCACCAGAGGGCGUCCGCCUCCCGCGCCUGGGAGGGAGUCCGGUGCCGCAACCCCGACCGCGGCGCGGGGUGGGUUCGGGCGGCCCUUGGAACGCUCCGGCCAGGGACGCGCGGUGAGAGCUGCGGGCCCCGAGGCUUGGGUCUGGGGGUGUGGUGGGGGCGCUCCUGGAGGGACGGGACGGCGUGGGACCGGGGCGAGGGUCCCAGCCCGGGAGAACCCCCACGGCCCAGCCCAAGCUCCCUCCCGCUUUGCUGUGCAUCCUCUCCCUUACCAAGGAAAGCCUGCCCUUCCAGUGCCCCGGCCCAGCUCGAGCCUGCAUCCAAGUAGCGGUUCUCGAAGCAGCUGGGGCAGCAGGGGCUUCCCCCAGGCAGGGCAUAACGUCCCCCGCCCAGAGGCCCGGCGCAGUCCUGGCAACAGAAGUGGUUCUCAUGCCAGCGCUGUCCCUCCGCCUCGGUGCAGCGCCAGGAGAAGAUCAGCUGGGAGAGGGAGAGGGAGAGGGGAACGUUUCAUUCAUUCAUUCACUCAUUCAUUCAUCCAGUAACCACGCCUUUUACCCAGUUAACGCUAAAGCACGUCUGCAUACAUUCCCAUUUAAUUCAGUCACUCUUGGAUGCAGGGAGGACUGAUUGGCUUAGCCAGGAUCCCAGCUAGCAAGUGGCACAAUCCGAAGUGCGACCUGGGGGUCUGGACUCCCAACCCAGGACUCCAGGCUUCCUUUUAUGCUGACAUCAAGGGAAUUUCUAGCAUGAUGAGGCACAGCACUGGGCACUUGGCAUCUACUGAGAUGAGCAUGUGUCCAAGAGUCCCUGCUCUUGAGAAAUUCUGAGUCCAGGAACAUUUGAGGGACUCUGCAGUGGGGGAGGCCAGAGAGAAGGGCACUGGGUCCUACAUGCCCAGAGCUCAAGUCAGAACACAGGGAACUUGGUAGUCCCAGGCUGGUUCCUGCUUCUCCCCACUCCCUGAUACUGGGAUUAACUGUGGCCCAGGAGAGUGUCCCUUUGUAUUCUGCCACUCUGGACCCUGGGCAGACCCCCAGUUCCUCCCCUCCAGGCUGUACCUGGUCACAAGCCGGGCAGCGCGGGCGCAGCAACUCUGCAUGAUGACGGCCGCAGUAGAGUUGUCCAUCAUGGUAGAAGUAGAUGAGGUUUAUCAGGGCCUGGCCACAGGCCUGGCAGGCAAAGCAAGGCUGGUGCCAGCAGCGCUGUUCCCCUGCCCGGGCUGCAAACACUCCAUACUCCCCUGGCUUCAGCAGCUCCCUACACUGUCAGAGGGGAGGUGCUGAGGUAGUCGGAGUAAGCACUACUAUCCUAACUUCCUUCCUUGCUCUUGCAAUCCGAUCCCAACCUGUUCUCGCCAUACCCUAGCAAGCCCACAUCCACUGCAACCUAUACCAAGAGCUCCCAAACUUGGUUUCUGGUUUUCCUGUUUCCCAGAUAGAAUCCCAGAAGCUAGCCCCUUCUGCAGAAAUGAGAGGGCAAAGAAUAGAGGAAGGGGAACUUGGGGGGAGGGGUGCUGCAUACCUUCUCACAGGUGUGUCCUUCAAGCUUGGGAAGUACCCGGCGGGCUACCCCCUGUCCCAGGGCUUCCUGCUUCCGCCUGGCACAGAAGAGCCGCAGCUCGGCCCGCUCCUCCUCCCCAAGGGCCAGGCAGUAGCGCUCCUGCAGAAACAGUCCUCUACAAUUACUGGGAGAGCUCCAGCAGAAAAGAUUGAGCAUUGGUUGGAGGAAAAAAGGCUUGGCUGCUGGGUCAGAGAAAGGUUGUAGAACCUCAGGGAGAUGCCAGAGAUAAUGGCAUAGAAGAGGAAAUAGAAGGAGAAGGAAAGGAGCUCAAGAAAGCCACCUCAGUCUCACCCUGCCCCCUUAGGAAUGUCAUCAAUCAGGUCCUGACAGGCCCACAGCACUUAGCCCUGUCACCAUUAGGUCCUUGUUCCCAAUGAGCUAAGAGCUCAGUAUCACUUCCCAUUCUUGCAUUUCCUCAAAUUAUUUCAUAUACUCCUGUCUUGCCUCCCCAAUUGAAUUGUAAGCCUUUAGGCUGGGCACAUGUAGACCCUCAAUAAAUACGUAACAACCAUA